UAUUUCCCCAGGCAAUUUGCCGCGCGCGCCAACGGCGCUCUCAACCUCUUGCACUUCGGCUGGGCGUUCUUGGUUCAAUACGGCAUUGGGAUCGUGGUCGGACAAUGGCCGUCUCAGGAGGGGCAUNNNNNNNNNCGUAUCAGGCCGCAUUCGGUCUCAGCGUUGCCCUUCAAACGGCCGCGUUGCUGUGGUUUGCGAUGCCGUGGAUACGUACGUUCGGCAAAAGUUUCUGCCGUCCGUUCGCGCG
Molecule: unclassified non-coding RNA, 247 nt
Filed under: Hevea brasiliensis (rubber tree)
Lineage: Eukaryota; Viridiplantae; Streptophyta; Magnoliopsida; Malpighiales; Euphorbiaceae
Source: RNAcentral